UAGUAACUGCGAGUGAAGCGGGAAAAGCUCAAAUUUAAAAUCUGGCGGUCUCUGGCCGUCCGAGUUGUAAUCUAGAGAAGUGUUACCCGCGCUGGACCGUGUACAAGUCCCCUGGAAUGGGGCGUCAUAGAGGGUGAGAAUCCCGUCUCUGACACGGACUACCAGGGCUUUGUGGUAUGCUCUCAAAGAGUCGAGUUGUUUGGGAAUGCAGCUCAAAAUGGGUGGUAAAUUCCAUCUAAAGCUAAAUAUUGGCGAGAGACCGAUAGCGAACAAGUACCGUGAGGGAAAGAUGAAAAGAACUUUGGAAAGAGAGUUAAACAGUACGUGAAAUUGCUGAAAGGGAAACGCUUGAAGUCAGUCGCGUUGGCCGGGAAUCAGCCUCGCUUUUGCGUGGUGUACUUUCUGGUUGACGGGUCAGCAUCAAUUUUGACCGCUGGAAAAAGGCUUGGGGAAUGUGGCAGCUCCGGCUGUGUUAUAGCCCCUUGUCACAUACAGCGGUUGGGAUUGAGGAACUCAGCACGCCGCAAGGCCGGGUUUCGACCACGUUCGUGCUUAGGAUGCUGGCAUAAUGGCUUUAAGCGACCCGUCUUGAAACACGGACCAAGGAGUCUAACAUGCCUGCGAGUGUUUGGGUGGAAAACCCGAGCGCGUAAUGAAAGUGAAAGUUGAGAUCCCUGUCGUGGGGAGCAUCGACGCCCGGACCAGAACUUUUGGGACGGAUCCGCGGUAGAGCAUGUAUGUUGGGACCCGAAAGAUGGUGAACUAUGCCUGAAUAGGGUGAAGCCAGAGGAAACUCUGGUGGAGGCUCGUAGCGAUUCUGACGUGCAAAUCGA
RNAcentral lists this ribosomal RNA (833 nucleotides) under Podaxis sp. D BHC-2016. RNAcentral's name for it is "eukaryotic LSU rRNA". It matches the Rfam family "Eukaryotic large subunit ribosomal RNA", at positions 81 to 901 of the family's 3401-position model. Lineage: Eukaryota; Fungi; Basidiomycota; Agaricomycetes; Agaricales; Agaricaceae. The record is from RNAcentral.